AGUGAACGCUGGCGGUAGGCCUAACACAUGCAAGUCGAACGGCAGCACAGUAAGAGCUUGCUCUUACGGGUGGCGAGUGGCGGACGGGUGAGGAAUACAUCGGAAUCUACUUUUUCGUGGGGGAUAACGUAGGGAAACUUACGCUAAUACCGCAUACGACCUACGGGUGAAAGCAGGGGAUCUUCGGACCUUGCGCGAUUGAAUGAGCCGAUGUCGGAUUAGCUAGUUGGCGGGGUAAUGGCCCACCAAGGCGACGAUCCGUAGCUGGUCUGAGAGGAUGAUCAGCCAAACUGGAACUGAGACACGGUCAAGACUCCUACGGGAGGCAGCAGUGGGGAAUAUUGGACAAUGGGGGCAAGACUGAUCCAGCCAUACCGCGUGGGUGAAGAAGGCCUUAGGGUUGUAAAGCCCUUUUGUUGGGAAAGAAAAGCAGCAGGUUAAUACCCCGCUGUUAUGACGGUACCCAAAGAAUAAGCACCGGCUAACUUCGUG
This 492-nucleotide ribosomal RNA is filed under the name uncultured bacterium. RNAcentral describes it as "partial 16S ribosomal RNA". It matches the Rfam family "Bacterial small subunit ribosomal RNA", at positions 29 to 507 of the family's 1533-position model. The record is from RNAcentral.